GACGAACGCUGGCGGCGUGCCUAAUACAUGCAAGUCGAGCGAAGUUUUUCUGGUGCUUGCACUAGAAAAACUUAGCGGCGAACGGGUGAGUAACACGUAAAGAACCUGCCUCAUAGACUGGGACAACUAUUGGAAACGAUAGCUAAUACCGGAUAACAGCAUUAACUGCAUGGUUGAUGUUUAAAAGUUGGUUUUGCUAACACUAUGAGAUGGCUUUGCGGUGCAUUAGCUAGUUGGUGGGGUAAAGGCCUACCAAGGCGACGAUGCAUAGCCGACCUGAGAGGGUGAUCGGCCACACUGGGACUGAGACACGGCCCAGACUCCUGCGGGAGGCAGCAGUAGGGAAUCUUCCGCAAUGGGCGAAAGCCUGACGGAGCAACGCCGCGUGAGUGAAGAAGGAUUUCGGUUCGUAAAGCUCUGUUGUUAGGGAAGAAUGAUUGUGUAGUAACUAUACACAGUAGAGACGGUACCUAACCAGAAAGCCACGGCUAACUACGUG
RNAcentral lists this ribosomal RNA (499 nucleotides) under uncultured bacterium. RNAcentral's name for it is "partial 16S ribosomal RNA". It matches the Rfam family "Bacterial small subunit ribosomal RNA", at positions 28 to 507 of the family's 1533-position model. The record is from RNAcentral.